Molecule: long non-coding RNA, 384 nt
Organism: Equus quagga
Lineage: Eukaryota; Metazoa; Chordata; Mammalia; Perissodactyla; Equidae
Exons: 3
Source: RefSeq, a predicted model, not a curated record
GGCACUGUUUUAGGCACUGGGGAAACAUCAGUGACAAGAACAGAAACCUCUGCCCUCCUGAUGCUUACAUUCUAGUGAGGACAGCAGACAGGUGAAGUGGUGAGCUCCAGGGAGCCACAGAACCAGCCCACAAAGACCAAAGAGCCAGCCCGCCCACCCGUGGUCUAAGCAACAGGAAUUCUCACGCUCCCUUGCGGUCCAGUGACUUCACUUGGCAGCGUCCAGAUCAGGACUCAGCGUCAAAGGCCGAGGGGAACCUCACCUUUCUCCACCGAGAACGUAAAAUUGACGCCUUGCCACCAUUUUGACCAAAUGUGGACUUCACGUUCCUCAGUCAGAGAAAAAACUUUGUAUUCUGUGAUAAACCACAACAAACCACAACUC